CGAGUGGCGGACGGGUGAGGAAUACAUCGGAAUCUACCUUUUCGUGGGGGAUAACGUAGGAAACUUACGCUAAUACCGCAUACGACCUACGGGUGAAAGUGGGGGACCGCAAGGCCUCACGCGAUUAGAUGAGCCGAUGUCCGAUUAGCUAGUUGGCGGGGUAAUGGCCCACCAAGGCGACGAUCGGUAGCUGGUCUGAGAGGAUGAUCAGCCACACUGGAACUGAGACACGGUCCAGACUCCUACGGGAGGCAGCAGUGGGGAAUAUUGGACAAUGGGCGCAAGCCUGAUCCAGCCAUACCGCGUGGGUGAAGAAGGCCUUCGGGUUGUAAAGCCCUUUUGUUGGGAAAGAAAUCCUAUCGGUUAAUAACCGGUGGGGAUGACGGUACCCAAAGAAUAAGCACCGGCUAACUUCGUGCCAGCAGCCGCGGUAAUACGAAGGGUGCAAGCGUUACUCGGAAUUACUGGGCGUAAAGCGUGCGUAGGUGGUGGUUUAAGUCUGCUGUGAAAGCCCUGGGCUCAACCUGGGAAUUGCAGUGGAUACUGGAUCACUAGAGUGUGGUAGAGGGAUGCGGAAUUUCUGGUGUAGCAGUGAAAUGCGUAGAGAUCAGAAGGAACAUCCGUGGCGAAGGCGGCAUCCUGGGCCAACACUGACACUGAGGCACGAAAGCGUGGGGAGCAAACAGGAUUAGAUACCUGGUAGUCCACGCCCUAAACGAUGCGAACUGGAUGUUGGUGCAACUUGCACCAGUA
This 753-nucleotide ribosomal RNA is filed under the name bacterium MS-AsV-50. RNAcentral describes it as "bacterial SSU rRNA". It matches the Rfam family "Bacterial small subunit ribosomal RNA", at positions 92 to 845 of the family's 1533-position model. The record is from RNAcentral.